GUCUGAGUUAUGCAUCUGCUGCUUCUCACCUAGCUCCUUCUAUGAGGUGCUUACAAUACAACGUUAAGCAUACUGGACUUCUAUUUGUUCAGUACUUUGAAUCUACUGGCUGCUUAUCAGUAGCCAAAGCAAAUUUGCUUUACGUCAUGAAUGGCUCUGCUUUCACCAGAAACAAGUCCUGAUGCUGAUGUGUUGUACGGCACUGAUGUAGCAUCUGCCAUGAAAUCUCAUCAGUGGAUGCUUCUAACUUUUACUGUGUUUUUGGUGUGUUUCAG
This 275-nucleotide long non-coding RNA is filed under the name Gallus gallus (chicken). The record is from RNAcentral. Lineage: Eukaryota; Metazoa; Chordata; Aves; Galliformes; Phasianidae.